AGAGUUUGAUCCUGGCUCAGGAUGAACGCUGGCGGCGUGCCUAAUACAUGCAAGUCGAGCGAACGGACGAGAAGCUUGCUUCUCUGAUGUUAGCGGCGGACGGGGGAGUAACACGUGGAUAACCUACCUAUAAGACUGGGAUAACUUCGGGAAACCGGAGCUAAUACCGGAUAAUAUUUUGAACCGCAUGGUUCAAAAGUGAAAGACGGUCUUGCUGUCACUUAUAGAUGGAUCCGCGCUGCAUUAGCUAGUUGGUAAGGUAACGGCUUACCAAGGCAACGAUGCAUAGCCGACCUGAGAGGGUGAUCGGCCACACUGGAACUGAGACACGGUCCAGACUCCUACGGGAGGCAGCAGUAGGGAAUCUUCCGCAAUGGGCGAAAGCCUGACGGAGCAACGCCGCGUGAGUGAUGAAGGUCUUCGGAUCGUAAAACUCUGUUAUUAGGGAAGAACAUAUGUGUAAGUAACUGUGCACAUCUUGACGGUACCUAAUCAGAAAGCCACGGCUAACUACGUGCCAGCAGCCGCGGUAAUACGUAGGUGGCAAGCGUUAUCCGGAAUUAUUGGGCGUAAAGCGCGCGUAGGCGGUUUUUUAAGUCUGAUGUGAAAGCCCACGGCUCAACCGUGGAGGGUCAUUGGAAACUGGAAAACUUGAGUGCAGAAGAGGAAAGUGGAAUUCCAUGUGUAGCGGUGAAAUGCGCAGAGAUAUGGAGGAACACCAGUGGCGAAGGCGACUUUCUGGUCUGUAACUGACGCUGAUGUGCGAAAGCGUGGGGAUCAAACAGGAUUAGAUACCCUGGUAGUCCACGCCGUAAACGAUGAGUGCUAAGUGUUAGGGGGUUUCCGCCCCUUAGUGCUGCAGCUAACGCAUUAAGCACUCCGCCUGGGGAGUACGACCGCAAGGUUGAAACUCAAAGGAAUUGACGGGGACCCGCACAAGCGGUGGAGCAUGUGGUUUAAUUCGAAGCAACGCGAAGAACCUUACCAAAUCUUGACAUCCUUUGACAACUCUAGAGAUAGAGCCUUCCCCUUCGGGGGACAAAGUGACAGGUGGUGCAUGGUUGUCGUCAGCUCGUGUCGUGAGAUGUUGGGUUAAGUCCCGCAACGAGCGCAACCCUUAAGCUUAGUUGCCAUCAUUAAGUUGGGCACUCUAAGUUGACUGCCGGUGACAAACCGGAGGAAGGUGGGGAUGACGUCAAAUCAUCAUGCCCCUUAUGAUUUGGGCUACACACGUGCUACAAUGGACAAUACAAAGGGCAGCGAAACCGCGAGGUCAAGCAAAUCCCAUAAAGUUGUUCUCAGUUCGGAUUGUAGUCUGCAACUCGACUACA
This 1331-nucleotide ribosomal RNA is filed under the name Staphylococcus aureus M1188. RNAcentral describes it as "bacterial SSU rRNA". It matches the Rfam family "Bacterial small subunit ribosomal RNA", at positions 8 to 1320 of the family's 1533-position model. The record is from RNAcentral. Lineage: Bacteria; Bacillati; Bacillota; Bacilli; Caryophanales; Staphylococcaceae.